GCUACUUGCCUUGCCUCAAAGGUAUAGUUUCUUCCACCAAAUGUCCAAAAGGGCUUUUCUUCAUGUUUUUGUCUCUAUUUUGUUUUUCUCACUUUUCUCUAAUUCUCUGAAAUUCUUUUUUUUUUUUCAUCAUCUUCUCAUUUGCUUUCUAUAUAACCCAUGUAACGAGCUUUAGGCCGGUGACUCCCAAACCAGUUGGCUUUAGGGCACCAGGUUUUUAAACCCUUACAGGCUUAUUCACUCGAGUUAUAAAGGCUCGAUCAGAUGACUUUUUAUUAACCUCUUUCCCUCUUGCUUUCUUU
Molecule: long non-coding RNA, 302 nt
Filed under: Olea europaea (common olive)
Lineage: Eukaryota; Viridiplantae; Streptophyta; Magnoliopsida; Lamiales; Oleaceae
Description: long non-coding RNA (OEUR_LNC012888)
Source: RNAcentral